This 328-nucleotide unclassified non-coding RNA is filed under the name plant metagenome. Its description in RNAcentral is "partial contains 5.8S ribosomal RNA, internal transcribed spacer 2, and large subunit ribosomal RNA". The stretch from base 1 to 105 matches the Rfam family "5.8S ribosomal RNA", at positions 50 to 154 of the family's 154-position model. The record is from RNAcentral.
GAACUGCGAUAAGUAAUGUGAAUUGCAGAAUUCAGUGAAUCAUCGAGUCUUUGAACGCACAUUGCGCCCCCUGGUAUUCCGGGGGGCAUGCCUGUCCGAGCGUCAUUGCUGCCCCUCAAGCACGGCUUGUGUGAUGGGCCCUCCCGCGUCUUGGUCGUCAAGACGGGCCCGAAAUGCAGUGGCGGCUUCGCGGUUAUCCGAUCAGCCAGAGCGUAUGGGGACUCUCUCUCUUGUCACACGCCCGCGGCGCGGACCGACGCCUGUCGACCUUUAUUCAUCUUCUCUCGGUUGACCUCGGAUCAGGUAGGGAUACCCGCUGAACUUAAGC